RNAcentral lists this ribosomal RNA (253 nucleotides) under uncultured bacterium. RNAcentral describes it as "partial 16S ribosomal RNA". It matches the Rfam family "Bacterial small subunit ribosomal RNA", at positions 524 to 776 of the family's 1533-position model. The record is from RNAcentral.
UACGUAGGGUGCGAGCGUUAAUCGGAAUUACUGGGCGUAAAGCGCGCGUAGGUGGUUCAGUAAGUUGGAUGUGAAAUCCCGCAGCUCAACUGCGGAACUGCCUUUGAUACUGGGUAUCUUGAGUAUGGAAGAGGUAUGUGGAACUCCGAGUGUAGAGGUGAAAUUCGUAGAUAUUCGGAAGAACACCAGUGGCGAAGGCGACAUACUGGCUCAUUACUGACGCUGAGGCUCGAAAGCGUGGGGAGCAAACAGG